Small nucleolar RNA from Rattus rattus (black rat), 143 nucleotides. RefSeq annotates it as small nucleolar RNA SNORA48. The record is from RefSeq and is a predicted model, not a curated record. NCBI's taxonomy places the organism in Eukaryota, Metazoa, Chordata, Mammalia, Rodentia, Muridae. The transcript has a single exon.
AGCCCAGCUGGCAAUGGUCAAAGAGAUACCUUGUUGGUGAUAUUCUUAAAUCAGUCAGGGGCAGAGCAGAUGACAGUCCUUUGUGCCUCCUAGUUUGAUGCCUGGCUUGGUGGCCAAAGCUGUCUCAUGCCUAGGACACCUCA